CGCUUCUAAUUCCUGUACGUCACUUUACCUUUUUUGUCUAUAAAUUUAUUCUGACCACAAGGCACCCCUGGAGCCUCUGUGAGUCUGCUGUGGUUCUGGGGACUGCCGGAUUCGCGAAUCGUUCAUUUCUCAGUUAAACUCCUUUAAAUUAAUUCAGCUGAAGUUUUUCUUUUAUCAAUGAAAAGACUAGACUGGCUUAGCCUUCCAGCCCGCACCUUUCUCCCAUGCUGGAUGCUUCCUGCCCUUGAAUAUCAGACUCCAAGUUCUUCAGUUUUGGGACUCAGACUGGCUUCCUUGCUCCUCAGCUUGCAGAUGCCCUAUUGUGGGGUCUUGUGUUCGUGGUUUCCUGCUUUUGCUCAAUUGAUCCUUUCAAGGCUCCAUCACGUUUGAGCUACAGCAAAUCAUGGUGUCCACUGUUCACUGAUGGGCUAUGUUCCAGAAGUUGCAAGAAAAGUAAAGGGGGAUAAAAGAAGAGAGAGAGAGAAGACCCAUAAAUAUUCUGAAGUAUAUGACUAAUCUAGUAUAAUGGAAGCUCAGAAAAUAAAUUGUAUUUCCAAAUAUAUAUUUCUGAAUUUUUUGGUAUUUGUUAUUGGUAUUCUCUGAAGGGCCACUUUCUUUUCUUUCUAAUGCUCUAUGUCCUUACAAAGGAAUGACUAUUAAUUCACUGGAAUAAGAAUCACACUAAUUGGCACACAGUCCCAAUCUGCUUG
Molecule: long non-coding RNA, 710 nt
Filed under: Homo sapiens (human)
Lineage: Eukaryota; Metazoa; Chordata; Mammalia; Primates; Hominidae
Description: HSALNT0206299
Source: RNAcentral